GACCGAGUGCGCGAGCGGACAUGACGUGUGGCUGUCGUAAAAACCCUAUUUGUAAACAACCAGCCCUUUAACUCGGGGCUGCGUCAUAAACACGGCGCGCUUGGAAGACCACGAUGUCAUCUUCCUUCUGUCAGGAGGAUCCAAGUGAAGCUACAGGAGUUUCAUUAACAUCAACAACUUGGACCAAACAGUUUGUUUUGCUUGAUGAAGAGCAGGAAGGGCAGCCUGGAGAGAAAGAGAAGCCGGGUUGAGCCCACUACCAUCAUCCAUGUACCACGAGGAAGAUGAGGGAGAGAAAUGAUCCUACCAUUAAAGAGACUGUGAAAAGAACGUUGAGAACAUCACCACUCUACAGGAAGACACAGUCCAGUAAUGGGUGUCAGAAGUUCAGUAGUGAACGACAGGUACUGUGGAAAAAUAUGUGUCAUUGUUGUACAAUGUCCUUUGACUCUGUUUAAACAAGGUUAACACAAAAAGGUUUGAUUGUAAACUGAUAUCGGUAUGAAUUCAUGUUAUUCUCCUCGUCAAAAGAAACAAACAAUCCAAAUUACCUGCAGAAAGCCCUUGAUGGACGCUUCAGCUGCAUCGUCAGACUGGCAGUACUGAUGCAUUUACUGAGAGGGGACGUGAGGGCCUACUCUGCGUGCUCAGAGUUCAAGCCCAGCAGGCUGCAGCGGGCCUGACAUAUUCUGGAACAGCAGCACAGUCUUUGGAUGACUCCUCUGAAGAUGAAAACAUGGCGAGAUGGUUCCCUCUGAUUUUUUUUUAACAUAAACGUCAGACAGGCCACUAAAAACUAAAAAUGCUGAAGCUAACAGCUACCACACAGCAAGCUAAUGCCUUCCUAAGGCUGCCAGGGAGUAGCAUGAGUAGCCUUGUAGCAAGAGAGUGUAGCUAAUCACAGCCCUCACAGUUCUUCAUCAGUGGAGAAGUACCUCGCCAUGUUUUCAUCUUCAGAGGAGUCAUCCAAAGACUGUGCUGCUGUUCCAGAAUAUGUCAGGCCCGCUGCAGCCUGCUGGGCUUGAACUCUGAGC
Long non-coding RNA from Pleuronectes platessa (European plaice), 1034 nucleotides. RefSeq lists it as uncharacterized. NCBI's taxonomy places the organism in Eukaryota, Metazoa, Chordata, Actinopteri, Pleuronectiformes, Pleuronectidae. The record is from RefSeq and is a predicted model, not a curated record. The transcript has 5 exons.